AUGAACGCUGGCGGCGUGCCUAAUACAUGCCAGUCGAGCGAACAGACGAGGAGCUUGCUCCUCUGACGUUAGCGGCGGACGGGUGAGUAACACGUGGAUAACCUACCUAUAAGACUGGGAUAACUUCGGGAAACCGGAGCUAAUACCGGAUAAUAUAUUGAACCGCAUGGUUCAAUAGUGAAAGACGGUUUUGCUGUCACUUAUAGCUGGAUCCGCGCCGCAUUAGCUAGUUGGUAAGGUAACGGCUUACCAAGGCAACGAUGCGUAGCCGACCUGAGAGGGUGAUCGGCCACACUGGAACUGAGACACGGUCCAGACUCCUACGGGAGGCAGCAGUAGGGAAUCUUCCGCAAUGGGCGAAAGCCUGACGGAGCAACGCCGCGUGAGUGAUGAAGGUCUUCGGAUCGUAAAACUCUGUUAUUAGGGAAGAACAAAUGUGUAAGUAACUAUGCACGUCUUGACGGUACCUAAUCAGAAAGCCACGGCUAACUACGUG
Molecule: ribosomal RNA, 496 nt
Filed under: uncultured bacterium
Lineage: Bacteria
Description: partial 16S ribosomal RNA
Rfam family: Bacterial small subunit ribosomal RNA
Source: RNAcentral